AAUUCGAUGCAACGCGAAGAACCUUACCUGGGUUUGACAUACACCGGAGAGCUGCAGAUAUGUAGCCCCUUUUAGUCGGUGUACAGGUGGUGCAUGGCUGUCGUCAGCUCGUGUCGUGAGAUGUUGGGUUAAGUCCCGCAACGAGCGCAACCCUCGUCCUAUGUUGCCAGCACGUAAUGGUGGGGACUCAUAGGAGACUGCCG
RNAcentral lists this ribosomal RNA (203 nucleotides) under uncultured Nocardioides sp. Its description in RNAcentral is "partial 16S ribosomal RNA". It matches the Rfam family "Bacterial small subunit ribosomal RNA", at positions 948 to 1154 of the family's 1533-position model. The record is from RNAcentral. Lineage: Bacteria; Bacillati; Actinomycetota; Actinomycetes; Propionibacteriales; Nocardioidaceae.